ACAAUUCAGUUGCAGAUAUCCG
This 22-nucleotide microRNA is filed under the name Gadus morhua (Atlantic cod). RNAcentral describes it as "gmo-miR-11224b-5p". Lineage: Eukaryota; Metazoa; Chordata; Actinopteri; Gadiformes; Gadidae. The record is from miRBase by way of RNAcentral.